This 1388-nucleotide ribosomal RNA is filed under the name uncultured bacterium. RNAcentral's name for it is "bacterial SSU rRNA". It matches the Rfam family "Bacterial small subunit ribosomal RNA". The record is from RNAcentral.
AGAGUUUGAUCCUGGCUCAGGACGAACGCUGGCGGCGUGCUUAACACAUGCAAGUCGAGCGGGGAUAACGUUGGAAGUCCUUCGGGGUGGAAGAUGUUAUUCCAGCGGCGGACGGGUGAGUAACGCGUGAACAAUCUGUCCCAGACAGGGGGAUAACACUUGGAAACAGGUGCUAAUACCGCAUAAGACCACGUUUUCGCAUGGGGAUGAGGUAAAAGGAGCAAUCCGGUUUGGGGUGAGUUCGCGUCCGAUUAGAUAGUUGGUGAGGUAACGGCCCACCAAGUCGACGAUCGGUAGCCGACCUGAGAGGGUGAUCGGCCACAUUGGAACUGAGAGACGGUCCAAACUCCUACGGGAGGCAGCAGUGGGGGAUAUUACGCAAUGGGGGAAACCCUGACGUAGCAAUGCCGCGUGAAGGAUGAAGGUUUUCGGAUUGUAAACUUCUUUUGUUAAGGACGAUAAUGACGGUACUUAACGAAUAAACUCCGGCUAACUAUGUGCCAGCAGCCGCGGUAAUACAUAGGGAGCAAGCGUUAUCCGGAUUUACUGGGUGUAAAGGGUGCGUAGGCGGCAAGGCAAGUCAGAUGUGAAAUCUAUGGGCUUAACCCAUAGCCUGCAUUUGAAACUGUUUUGCUUGAGUGAAGUAGAGGCAGGCGGAAUUCCCGGUGUAGCGGUGAAAUGCGUAGAGAUCGGGAGGAACACCAGUGGCGAAGGCGGCCUGCUGGGCUUUAACUGACGCUGAGGCACGAAAGCGUGGGUAGCAAACAGGAUUAGAUACCCUGGUAGUCCACGCUGUAAACGAUGAUUAUUAGGUGUGGGUGGACUGACCCCAUCCGUGCCGCAGUUAACACAAUAAGUAAUCCACCUGGGGAGUACGACCGCAAGGUUGAAACUCAAAGGAAUUGACGGGGGCCCGCACAAGCAGUGGAGUAUGUGGUUUAAUUCGAAGCAACGCGAAGAACCUUACCAGGUCUUGACAUCCAACUAACGAAGUAGAGAUACAUCAGGUGCCCUUCGGGGAAAGUUGAGACAGGUGGUGCAUGGUUGUCGUCAGCUCGUGUCGUGAGAUGUUGGGUUAAGUCCCGCAACGAGCGCAACCCUUGCUAUUAGUUGCUACGCAAGAGCACUCUAAUAGGACUGCCGUUGACAAAACGGAGGAAGGUGGGGACGACGUCAAAUCAUCAUGCCCCUUAUGACCUGGGCUACACACGUACUACAAUGGCCAUUAACAAAGGGAAGCAACAUCGCAAGGUAGAGCAAACCCCCAAAAAUGGUCCCAGUUCAGAUUGUAGGCUGCAACUCGCCUAUAUGAAGUUGGAAUUGCUAGUAAUCGCGAAUCAGAAUGUCGCGGUGAAUACGAUCCCGGGCCUUGCACACACCGCCCGUCA